CCUACGGGUGGCACCAGUGGGGAAUAUUGCACAAUGGACGAAAGUCUGAUGCAGCAACGCCGCGUGGAGGAUGACACAUUUCGGUGCGUAAACUCCUUUUAUAUGAGAAGAUAAUGACGGUAUUAUAUGAAUAAGCACCGGCUAACUCCGUGCCAGCAGCCGCGGUAAUACGGGGGGUGCAAGCGUUACUCGGAAUCACUGGGCGUAAAGAGCAUGUAGGCGGAUUGAUAAGUUUGAAGUGAAAUCCUAUAGCUUAACUAUAGAACUGCUUUGAAAACUGUUAAUCUAGAAUGUGGGAGAGGUAGAUGGAAUUUCUGGUGUAGGGGUAAAAUCCGUAGAGAUCAGAAGGAAUACCGAUUGCGAAGGCGAUCUACUGGAACAUUAUUGACGCUGAGAUGCGAAAGCGUGGGGAGCAAACAGGAUUAGAUACCCUAGUAGUC
Molecule: ribosomal RNA, 440 nt
Filed under: uncultured bacterium
Lineage: Bacteria
Description: bacterial SSU rRNA
Rfam family: Bacterial small subunit ribosomal RNA
Source: RNAcentral